CAGGAUGCCUUGAAGAAUCCUCCAGUAGGCUCAUUGCAGAGAAGACCACACAAGGACCAAUAACAAACCAUGGACUGUUGAGGUGACAUCACCAAGAUGGCAGCGGGGUAGUUCCUGACUUCACUCUCCCUUGAAAGAAGAACAACUAACAAGUAUUCAUGGACGAGAUACCAACGAGAGACUCUGAGAACCAUGUGUGUUCAACUGCAAAUGACAGAAACCAUUUUGCCAAGUGUGAGAAAGAAGAGAAUUAAAAUAGUAUAUAUGUGUGUCUUAGUUUGUCUGGGCCACUGUAACAAAAGU
This is a long non-coding RNA of Bos taurus (domestic cattle), 303 nucleotides long. NCBI's taxonomy places the organism in Eukaryota, Metazoa, Chordata, Mammalia, Artiodactyla, Bovidae. The record is from Ensembl.